UGAACUCGAAGAGUAGGGCGGGACACGUGGUAUCCUGUCUGAAUAUGGGGGGACCAUCCUCCAAGGCUAAAUACUCCUGACUGACCGAUAGUGAACCAGUACCGUGAGGGAAAGGCGAAAAGAACCCCGGCGAGGGGAGUGAAAAAGAACCUGAAACCGUGUACGUACAAGCAGUGGGAGCACCUUCGGGUGUGACUGCGUACCUUUUGUAUAAUGGGUCAGCGACUUAUAUUCUGUAGCAAGGUUAACCGUAUAGGGGAGCCGCAGGGAAACCGAGUCUUAACUGGGCGUUAAGUUGCAGGGUAUAGACCCGAAACCCGGUGAUCUAGCCAUGGGCAGGUUGAAGGUUGGGUAACACUAACUGGAGGACCGAACCGACUAAUGUUGAAAAAUUAGCGGAUGACUUGUGGCUGGGGGUGAAAGGCCAAUCAAACCGGGAGAUAGCUGGUUCUCCCCGAAAGCUAUUUAGGUAGCGCCUCGUGAACUCAUCUUCGGGGGUAGAGCACUGUUUCGGCUAGGGGGUCAUCCCGACUUACCAACCCGAUGCAAACUACGAAUACCGAAGAAUGUUAUCACGGGAGACACACGGCGGGUGCUAACGUCCGUCGUGAAGAGGGAAACAACCCAGACCGCCAGCUAAGGUCCCAAAGUCAUGGUUAAGUGGGAAACGAUGUGGGAAGGCACAGACAGCCAGGAUGUUGGCUUAGAAGCAGCCAUCAUUUAAAGAAAGCGUAAUAGCUCACUGGUCGAGUCGGCCUGCGCGGAAGAUGUAACGGGGCUAAACCAUGCACCGAAGCUGCGGCAGCGACACUAUGUGUUGUUGGGUAGGGGAGCGUUCUGUAAGCCUGCGAAGGUG
Molecule: ribosomal RNA, 856 nt
Filed under: Klebsiella pneumoniae
Lineage: Bacteria; Pseudomonadati; Pseudomonadota; Gammaproteobacteria; Enterobacterales; Enterobacteriaceae
Description: bacterial LSU rRNA
Rfam family: Bacterial large subunit ribosomal RNA
Source: RNAcentral